RNAcentral lists this ribosomal RNA (425 nucleotides) under uncultured bacterium. RNAcentral describes it as "bacterial SSU rRNA". It matches the Rfam family "Bacterial small subunit ribosomal RNA", at positions 359 to 776 of the family's 1533-position model. The record is from RNAcentral.
GAAUAUUGGACAAUGGGCGCAAGCCUGAUCCAGCAAUGCCGCGUGUGUGAAGAAGGCCUGCGGGUUGUAAAGCACUUUUAUCGGGAAAGAAAAGCUUGGGGCUAAUAUCUCCAAGCCUUGACGGUACCCGUUGACUAAGCACCGGCUAACUCCGUGCCAGCAGCCGCGGUAAUACGGAGGGUGCAAGCGUUAAUCGGAAUUACUGGGCGGAAAGCGAGUGUAGGUGGCCGCAUAAGUCGGAUGUGAAAGCCCUGGGCUUAACCUGGGGAUGGCAUUCGAUACUGUGUGGCUAGAGUCUGAUAGAGGGAAGUGGAAUUCCAGGUGUAGCGGUGAAAUGCGUAGAUAUCCGGAGGAACAUCAGUGGCGAAGGCGGCUACCUGGAUCAAGACUGACACUGAGGCUCGAAAGCGUGGGGAGCAAACAGG